UGUCUUUGAAAAUGUUGGUGGAAAGAUUA
This 29-nucleotide non-coding RNA is filed under the name Rattus norvegicus (Norway rat). Lineage: Eukaryota; Metazoa; Chordata; Mammalia; Rodentia; Muridae. The record is from RNAcentral.